Molecule: ribosomal RNA, 1501 nt
Filed under: uncultured bacterium
Lineage: Bacteria
Description: bacterial SSU rRNA
Rfam family: Bacterial small subunit ribosomal RNA
Source: RNAcentral
AGAGUUUGAUCCUGGCUCAGAUUGAACGCUGGCGGUAUGCUUAACACAUGCAAGUCGAACGGAAACGAAACUAGCUUGCUAGUAGGCGUCGAGUGGCGGACGGGUGAGUAACGCGUAGGAAUCUGCCUGAUAGUGGGGGAUAGCCCGAAGAAAUUCGGAUUAAUACCGCAUAAUCUAUUCGUAGUAAAGUGGGGGACUUUCGAGCCUCACGCUAUCAGAUGAGCCUGCGUAAGAUUAGCUUGUUGGUAGGGUAAAAGCCUACCAAGGCAACGAUCUUUAGCUGGUCUGAGAGGAUGAUCAGCCACAUCGGGACUGAGACACGGCCCGAACUCCUACGGGAGGCAGCAGUGGGGAAUAUUGGACAAUGGGGGCAACCCUGAUCCAGCAAUACCGCGUGUGUGAAGAAGGCCUGAGGGUUGUAAAGCACUUUCAAUUGUGAAGAAAAGUCAACGGUUAAUAACCGUUGACCUUGACGUUAACUUUAGAAGAAGCACCGGCUAACUCCGUGCCAGCAGCCGCGGUAAUACGGAGGGUGCAAGCGUUAAUCGGAAUUACUGGGCGUAAAGCGUGCGUAGGCGGUUUAUUAAGUCAGAUGUGAAAGCCCCGGGCUUAACCUGGGAACUGCAUUUGAAACUGGUCAACUAGAGUAUGGUAGAGGAAAGUGGAAUUUCUGGUGUAGCGGUGAAAUGCGUAGAUAUCAGAAGGAACAUCAAUGGCGAAGGCAGCUUUCUGGACCAAUACUGACGCUGAGGUACGAAAGCGUGGGUAGCAAACAGGAUUAGAUACCCUGGUAGUCCACGCCGUAAACGAUGAUAACUAGCCGUUGGGGGGAUUUACCCCUUAGUGGCGAAGCUAACGCGUUAAGUUAUCCGCCUGGGGAGUACGGCCGCAAGGCUAAAACUCAAAGGAAUUGACGGGGACCCGCACAAGCGGUGGAGCAUGUGGUUUAAUUCGAUGCAACGCGAAGAACCUUACCUGGUCUUGACAUCCUGCGAACUUUCUAGAAAUAGAUUGGUGCCUUCGGGAACGCAGUGACAGGUGCUGCAUGGCUGUCGUCAGCUCGUGUCGUGAGAUGUUGGGUUAAGUCCCGUAACGAGCGCAACCCCUAUCCUUAUUUGCCAGCACAUUAUGGUGGGAACUAUAAGGAGACUGCCGGUGAUAAACCGGAGGAAGGCGGGGACGACGUCAAGUCAUCAUGGCCCUUACGACCAGGGCUACACACGUGCUACAAUGGGAAGGACAAAGAGCCGCGAAGCCGCGAGGUGUAGCUAAUCUCAUAAAUCUUUUCGUAGUCCGGAUUGGAGUCUGCAACUCGACUCCAUGAAGUCGGAAUCGCUAGUAAUCGUAGAUCAGAAUGCUACGGUGAAUACGUUCCCGGGUCUUGUACACACCGCCCGUCAUACCAUGGGAGUGGGUUGCACCAGAAGUGACUAGUCUAACUUUGUGAGGACGGUCACCACGGUGUGAUUCAUGACUGGGGUAAAGUCGUAACAAGGUAACC